This 436-nucleotide ribosomal RNA is filed under the name uncultured organism. RNAcentral describes it as "bacterial SSU rRNA". It matches the Rfam family "Bacterial small subunit ribosomal RNA", at positions 346 to 769 of the family's 1533-position model. The record is from RNAcentral.
GCGCAGCAGUCGCGAAUCUUCGGCAAUGGGGGAAACCCUGACCGAGCGACGCCGCGUGUGGGAUGAAGGCCCUUGGGUUGUAAACCACUGUCAGAGGGGAUGAAAUGCCGGAAAGUUAUCUCUCCGGUUUGACAUAGCCUCAGAGGAAGCACGGGCUAAGUUCGUGCCAGCAGCCGCGGUAAGACGAACUGUGCAAACGUUAUUCGGAAUCACUGGGCUUGAAGAGUGCGUAGGCGGUUUCGUAAGUAGGGUGUGAAAGCCCCCGGCGUCAACCGGGGAAGUUGCGUCCUAAACUAGCGAGGCUGGAGUGAGGUAGGGGUGGUGUGGAACUUCCAGUGGAGCGGUGAAAUAGUGUUGAUAUUGGAAGGAACGCCGGUGGCGAAAGACGACACACUGGACCUUGUCUGACGCUGAGGCACGAAAGACCACGGGGAGG